GCAAGCCUGAUCCAGCCACGCCGCGUGGGUGAUGAAGGCCUUCGGGUUGUAAAGCCCUGUCGGAGGGGACGAAGUCUUCGGAUUGACGGUACCUUCCAAGAAAGCACCGGCUAACUCCGUGCCAGCAGCCGCGGUAAUACGGAGGGUGCAAGCGUUGCUCGGAAUUACUGGGCGUAAAGCGUACGCAGGCGGUCUGAUAAGUCGGGUGUGAAAGCCCCGGGCUCAACCCGGGAACUGCAUUCGAAACUGCCAGACUUGAGUUUGGGAGAGGGAAGUGGAAUUCCUGGUGUAGAGGUGAAAUUCGUUGAUAUCAGGAGGAACACCGGCGGCGAAAGCGGCUUCCUGGCCCGAUACUGACGCUCAUGUACGAAAGCGUGGGGAGCAAACAGGAUUAGAUACCCUGGUAGUCCACGCCGUAAACGAUGAGUGCUAGAUGUUGGAGGUAUUCACCCCUUCAGUGUCGAAGCUAACGCAUUAAGCACUCCGCCUGGGGAGUACGGCCGCAAGGUUAAAAACUCAAAGGAAUUGACGGG
RNAcentral lists this ribosomal RNA (533 nucleotides) under uncultured bacterium. Its description in RNAcentral is "bacterial SSU rRNA". It matches the Rfam family "Bacterial small subunit ribosomal RNA", at positions 377 to 917 of the family's 1533-position model. The record is from RNAcentral.